GAUUAAGCCAUGCAUGUGUAAGUAUAAAUAGUCUACUUUGAAACUGCGAAUGGCUCAUUAUAUCAGUUAUAGUUUAUUUGAUGAAAUGUACUACUUGGAUAACCGGUAGUAAUUCUAGAGCUAAUACAUGAUCAAUUCCUCGACUUUGAAGAGGUGUAUUUAUUAGAAUGAAAACCAAUAGACUCUGUCUGUUUGUGAGUAAUAAUAACUUGUCAUAUCGCAUGCAUAGGUAGCGAUGUGUCUUUUAAGUUUCUGCCCUAUCAGCUUUCGAUGGUAGUGUAUUGGACUACCAUG
RNAcentral lists this ribosomal RNA (294 nucleotides) under Blastocystis hominis. Its description in RNAcentral is "partial 18S ribosomal RNA". It matches the Rfam family "Eukaryotic small subunit ribosomal RNA", at positions 42 to 348 of the family's 1831-position model. Lineage: Eukaryota; Bigyra; Opalinata; Blastocystidae. The record is from RNAcentral.